AUUACAUAAUAUUAUUUUAAUUAAGGCCGAAGAUUAGUCGGUAUCUAGUGAAUUUGUGUCUGAAAAAACCUAACCCUAGGUUCAUCGUCAUGGACGUGAGAUAAGUUUAUCUUUUUGAAUGCACAUAUUGGUUCAAUAAUAAUUGUCAAUUAAUAAUAUCAUACAACUUAAUGUAAACAAGAAUCAGGAAUACCGUAGUAAUAUUUUUGAGUGCUCGUCUUCGAGAGCCGAACACUAUCAAUUCGUCUGAAUAGUGAUUCUGUGGAAUAUUUCUUGAAUAAUCUGGAACGAUUGACAAAACCAGAUUAUAUACCAACACAUGCAGACAUACUGCACAGCACAGAAUACUAAUAAUAAGAAAUGCAAUCUCCCUACUAAUCUGUGGAAACAAAAUAACCGCCAUCUUGAUUAGGUCCGCACUAGCGACACCAACGGGCAAAGUGAGAAAUAGGCUUUCUUCAGGGCGGGAAAAUUUGAAAUUACCGCAGGAAAGUUUAAAAUGUGAAAAAUCUUGCAUCAACUGCACAAAACAAACACAAUAAAGCUUUGUACAGCUGCCUGAGAGGAUCCUUCCUCACAGGAGACACUGCAAGGGUCCGCACUUAAACAGUAGUGUCAGAUUCUUACUGACUAAAAAACACCAUCGGUAAAAAAACAAAUCUCUAAUAAAUAUAUCACAAAUAAUAAUUUUGUAAUUGAAAUUGA
Long non-coding RNA from Harmonia axyridis, 705 nucleotides. RefSeq lists it as uncharacterized. The transcript has 3 exons. The record is from RefSeq and is a predicted model, not a curated record. Lineage: Eukaryota; Metazoa; Arthropoda; Insecta; Coleoptera; Coccinellidae.